Molecule: small nuclear RNA, 198 nt
Organism: Zalophus californianus (California sea lion)
Lineage: Eukaryota; Metazoa; Chordata; Mammalia; Carnivora; Otariidae
Gene: U2
Rfam family: U2 spliceosomal RNA
About the family: U2 is a small nuclear RNA (snRNA) component of the spliceosome (involved in pre-mRNA splicing). Complementary binding between U2 snRNA (in an area lying towards the 5' end but 3' to hairpin I) and the branchpoint sequence (BPS) of the intron results the bulging out of an unpaired adenosine, on the BPS, which initiates a nucleophilic attack at the intronic 5' splice site, thus starting the first of two transesterification reactions that mediate splicing.
Source: Ensembl
AUCACUUCUCGGCCUUUUGGCUAAGAUCAAGUGUAGUAUCUGUUCUUAUCAGUUUAAUUUUCUCUGUAUCACCAGUUUACAAUAAUAUUAUUAUAAUGUGCUGUAUGGUUUUUCUAAGUAGUUAUCCUGCUAGGGGUUCAUUAGGUUUCUUGGAUCUGAAAGAUUCAAAUUAAACUGUGAUGAUUUUUCAGCCAUUUU